RNAcentral lists this ribosomal RNA (253 nucleotides) under uncultured bacterium. RNAcentral describes it as "partial 16S ribosomal RNA". It matches the Rfam family "Bacterial small subunit ribosomal RNA", at positions 524 to 776 of the family's 1533-position model. The record is from RNAcentral.
UACGUAGGGGGCAAGCGUUGUCCGGAAUCAUUGGGCGUAAAGCGCGUGUAGGCGGCUGAGUAAGUCUGCUCUGAAAGCCCGGGGCUCAACCCCGGGAGGCGGGUGGAUACUGCUCAGCUCGAGUCCGGAAGAGGAGUGUGGAAUUCUUGGUGUAGCGGUGAAAUGCGCAGAUAUCAGGAGGAACACCAAUGGCGAAGGCAGCACUCUGGGACGUGACUGACGCUGAGACGCGAAAGCGUGGGGAGCAAACAGG